CUACGGGCCGCAGCAGUUAAGAAUCUUUUGCAAUGCGCGCAAGCGUGACAAAGCGAGCCAGAGUGUUUUUCCAUAACGGAAAAACUUUUAUGAUAUGUAAAAAGUAUCACGAAUAAGGACCGGGCAAGACUGGUGCCAGCCGCCGCGGUAAUACCAGCGGUCCGAGUCGUAGCCGCGUUUAUUGGGUCUGAAACAUCCGUAGCUUGUUGGGUAAGUCUAUUGUGAAAUCUGGCAUCUUAAGUGUCGGGCGCGCAAAAGAUACUGCCUUGCUUGAGACCGGGAGACGUAAGAAGUACGAACAGAGUAGCGGUAAAAUGCGUUGAUCCUGUUUGGACUAACGAUAGCGAAGGCAUCUUACGAGAACGGAUCUGACAGUGAGGGAUGAAGGCUAGGGGCGCAAAACGGAUUAGAUACCCGAGUAGUC
Molecule: ribosomal RNA, 424 nt
Filed under: uncultured archaeon
Lineage: Archaea
Description: partial 16S ribosomal RNA
Rfam family: Archaeal small subunit ribosomal RNA
Source: RNAcentral